Molecule: ribosomal RNA, 728 nt
Filed under: Creaserinus brevistylus
Lineage: Eukaryota; Metazoa; Arthropoda; Malacostraca; Decapoda; Cambaridae
Description: partial 28S large subunit ribosomal RNA
Rfam family: Eukaryotic large subunit ribosomal RNA (bases 279-728)
Source: RNAcentral
GCUUGGGCGUGCCUCCACCCACGCCGGCGUCGGCGGGCGUAUUUCGCCUCACAGUAGGUCGCCGCGACCCGUUGCUUUUGGGGACGUCGAAGGCCCGGACGGAUUGGUACCCUACCGGCUGGGGAUGCGGCUUCGGCUUCUCCUCUUGUCCGGUGGGCGAAACCGCCGGUGUCCUGGCUGCCCUGCGACGGUCGUAGAGACGAGCCCUCCCCUUCGGGGGGGCGGCUCUCGCGGCGUGCAAAAGGUCGGUGAUCCACCCGACCCGUCUUGAAACACGGACCAAGGAGUCUAACAUGUGUGCGAGUCAGUGGGCGCACUAAACCCAGAGGCGUAAUGAAAGUGACACGGGUUCGGCUGUCGCCUCGUGUGGCAGCCGGACUCAGGGCCGAUCCCUCACCGGUUGCCCUCGCUUCUCUCCCGCGUCUCGGUAAGCCGGGUGAGCUAUUUUCCCCGGCCGCUGCUGCGGGGCUCGGGGGGAGGCGGGGUUGCGAUGGUGUCCGUAAAAAAGAGCCUGCUGUUGCAGGGGGGCGCAGGCCCGGGACUUGCCAGGACGCCGCGAGACUGUCACUUUGCUGUGAGGCUCUCGGGCCGAUCAGCGGGUCAUGCGUGCAGUCGGCAAGUACCAUGAGCAGACAUGUUGGGACCCGAAAGAUGGUGAACUAUGCCUGGCCAGGAUGAAGCCAGAGGAAACUCUGGUGGAGGUCCGUAGCGAUUCUGACGUGCAAAUC